This 468-nucleotide ribosomal RNA is filed under the name uncultured bacterium. Its description in RNAcentral is "partial 16S ribosomal RNA". It matches the Rfam family "Bacterial small subunit ribosomal RNA", at positions 28 to 507 of the family's 1533-position model. The record is from RNAcentral.
GACGAACGCUGGCGGCGUGCUUAACACAUGCAAGUCGAACGGAAAGGCCCUGCUUUUGUGGGGUGCUCGAGUGGCGAACGGGUGAGUAACACGUGAGUAACCUGCCCUUGACUUUGGGAUAACUUCAGGAAACUGGGGCUAAUACCGGAUAGGAGCUCCUGCUGCAUGGUGGGGGUUGGAAAGUUUCGGCGGUUGGGGAUGGACUCGCGGCUUAUCAGCUUGUUGGUGGGGUAGUGGCUUACCAAGGCUUUGACGGGUAGCCGGCCUGAGAGGGUGACCGGCCACAUUGGGACUGAGGUACGGCCCAGAUUCCUACGGGAGGCAGCGGUGGGGAAUCUUGCACAAUGGGCGGAAGCCUGAUGCAGCAACGCCGCGUGCGGGAUGACGGCCUUCGGGUUGUGAACCGCUUUCGCCUGUGACGAAGCGUGAGUGACGGUAAUGGGUAAAGAAGCACCGGCUAACUACGUG